UUAGUACGGCGAGUGAAGCGGUAAAAGCUCAAAUUUGAAAUCUGGUACUUUCAGUGCCCGAGUUGUAAUUUGUAGAAUUUGUCUUUGAUUAGGUCCUUGUCUAUGUUCCUUGGAACAGGACGUCAUAGAGGGUGAGAAUCCCGUUUGGCGAGGAUACCUUUUCUCUGUAAGACUUUUUCGAAGAGUCGAGUUGUUUGGGAAUGCAGCUCAAAGUGGGUGGUAAAUUCCAUCUAAAGCUAAAUAUUGGCGAGAGACCGAUAGCGAACAAGUACAGUGAUGGAAAGAUGAAAAGAACUUUGAAAAGAGAGUGAAAAAGUACGUGAAAUUGUUGAAAGGGAAGGGCAUUUGAUCAGACAUGGUGUUUUUUGCAUGCACUCGCCUCUCGUGGGCUUGGGCCUCUCAAAAAUUUCACUGGGCCAACAUCAAUUCUGGCAGCAGGAUAAAUCAUUAAGAAUGUAGCUACUUCGGUAGUGUUAUAGCUUUUUGGAAUACUGUUAGCCGGGAUUGAGGACUGCGCUUCGGCAAGGAUGUUGGCAUAAUGGUUAAAUGCCGCCCGUCUUGA
RNAcentral lists this ribosomal RNA (562 nucleotides) under Hanseniaspora uvarum. Its description in RNAcentral is "partial large subunit ribosomal RNA". It matches the Rfam family "Eukaryotic large subunit ribosomal RNA", at positions 80 to 657 of the family's 3401-position model. Lineage: Eukaryota; Fungi; Ascomycota; Saccharomycetes; Saccharomycodales; Saccharomycodaceae. The record is from RNAcentral.